CAGUGAAAGGGUGCUGUUAUGC
Molecule: microRNA, 22 nt
Filed under: Gallus gallus (chicken)
Lineage: Eukaryota; Metazoa; Chordata; Aves; Galliformes; Phasianidae
Description: microRNA Ros-gga
Source: RNAcentral